RNAcentral lists this ribosomal RNA (529 nucleotides) under Alpheus lobidens. RNAcentral's name for it is "partial large subunit ribosomal RNA". It matches the Rfam family "Bacterial large subunit ribosomal RNA", at positions 1845 to 2633 of the family's 2925-position model. The record is from RNAcentral. Lineage: Eukaryota; Metazoa; Arthropoda; Malacostraca; Decapoda; Alpheidae.
AUUUGAGGUCUAACCUGCCCACUGAAGGAGUUUAAAUGGCCGCGGUAUAUUAACCGUGCGAAGGUAGCAUAGUCAAUAGUCUCUUAAUUGGAGGCUUGAAUGAAUGGUUGGACAUAAGGAAGGCUGUCUUGAUUGGUUUGAGUGAAUUUAACUUUUGUGUGAAAAGGCAUUAAUGAUUUAGGGGGACGAUAAGACCCUAUAAAACUUGAUGGUUAAUUUGGACUUUGUGAUUUUAGGGUAAUGUAAGGUUUGAGGUAUGUCAUUGUGCUGGGGCGGCAAGAAUAAAAUUUGUAACUGUUCUUUUAUAUAAAAUAAUUAUUUUUAGAGUUUGAGCCUGAAUUUUGGGUUAAAAGAUUAAGUUACUUUAGGGAUAACAGCGUUAUUUUUCUUGAGAGUUCAUAUCGACAGAAAUAUUUGCGACCUCGAUGUUGAAUUAAAGCUUUCUCCGGGAGUAGAAGUUCGGAUGAUAGGUCUGUUCGACCUUUAAAGUUUUACAUGAUUUGAGUUCAAACCGGUGUGAGCCAGGUUG